This is a long non-coding RNA of Prunus avium (sweet cherry), 1113 nucleotides long. RefSeq lists it as uncharacterized. The record is from RefSeq and is a predicted model, not a curated record. NCBI's taxonomy places the organism in Eukaryota, Viridiplantae, Streptophyta, Magnoliopsida, Rosales, Rosaceae.
AACCAUCACCACCACACCUCUCCCCACCAUUGCAUCACCAGACCUCUUACCUAACCCCAGAUCCAAGGCCACCCCCUUCCUCACCGCCACCUCCCCUCUUAGCAGCCCACCCUCCUACAGCCACCACACACACACACACUCUCUCUCUCUCUCUCUCUCUCUCCCCCAAAAAAUUUACUCUACACACCCAAUCACCACAACCAACCACUCAUCUCACUGACACAAAACAACUCCUCCCUAUCCCUCAACUUAACAAGUCCAAUGCCAUCACAGCAGCCAAUGAUCCACCCCCUUCCCCACAUGCAAUCAACCCCCACAUCCAAAAAACCCAAAAUGAAAACCUUAUCCCCACCCACAGACCCAAACCCAUUUCGCACCGUCCUCCUCCUCCAAUUGUAGCUUCUUCACGCGCUCGGAGGUUGGGUCCCACGUAGGAGCAGAGGUUGGUCUUCCAUUCAUGGUGUAUGCGUCUGUGGCUGUGGUUGAUUUGGGGAAGAAGGGAUUGUAGAGAGUGGGAGAGAUAGAGAGAGACAAAGAGAUAUGGAAGGUCAAAGGGUUGGGAGAUUUAUUGAAGACAAAUCUAGAUAAGGAAAUUCAUGAAGAUGAUGCUGAUUUACUAAAACGGAAAAGUGAAUUUGGAACAAACACAUAUCAUCGGAAAAAAGCGAGGAGUUUAUGGGAUUUUAGGCUUUGAUUUUCUGGGUUUACACAUAUGGGCUGCUCCCUCUCUGUGCAGGUAAGACUACUCUUUCUCGGUACUAGUUGUGAGCUGACGUUAUAUUUUUUUUCUAGAGAAAACUGAAAAUCUGAGAGAAAAAUAGAAGACAUGGGAAGAAAGUGAGCUCUAAAGCUCGUUCUUUGACUGUGAUACUCAUUGCAUCUUAUAUUAGCAGGUGGCGGCCUCCUUGCUGACCUGUGGAGCUGGAUAUGAGGAUAAGGUUUUCCGAUUAAUUGAAUUUUUUUUUAUAAUGAAUCAAAACAAGGAGUAUACAAAUUCGUACGUAUUUGUCAAGAGGAAUACUUCGUAUAUGAAGUGAAAUGGCUGGUGUACUUAUCUCAACUAUAUCAAUACUAUUGUGUGGAACACAAGUUCCAGCAAAAAUUUGGUUGUCA